RNAcentral lists this ribosomal RNA (638 nucleotides) under uncultured bacterium. RNAcentral's name for it is "bacterial SSU rRNA". It matches the Rfam family "Bacterial small subunit ribosomal RNA", at positions 89 to 725 of the family's 1533-position model. The record is from RNAcentral.
CGUCGACCGGCGCACGGGUGAGUAACGCGUAUCCAACCUGCCCACCACUUGGGGAUAACCUUGCGAAAGUAAGACUAAUACCCAAUGAUAUCUCUAGAAGACAUCUGAAAGAGAUUAAAGAUUUAUCGGUGAUGGAUGGGGAUGCGUCUGAUUAGCUUGUUGGCGGGGUAACGGCCCACCAAGGCAACGAUCAGUAGGGGUUCUGAGAGGAAGGUCCCCCACAUUGGAACUGAGACACGGUCCAAACUCCUACGGGAGGCAGCAGUGAGGAAUAUUGGUCAAUGGACGAGAGUCUGAACCAGCCAAGUAGCGUGCAGGAUGACGGCCCUAUGGGUUGUAAACUGCUUUUAUAAGGGAAUAAAGUGAGUCUCGUGAGACUUUUUGCAUGUACCUUAUGAAUAAGGACCGGCUAAUUCCGUGCCAGCAGCCGCGGUAAUACGGAAGGUCCGGGCGUUAUCCGGAUUUAUUGGGUUUAAAGGGAGCGUAGGCCGGAGAUUAAGCGUGUUGUGAAAUGUAGACGCUCAACGUCUGCACUGCAGCGCGAACUGGUUUCCUUGAGUACGCACAAAGUGGGCGGAAUUCGUGGUGUAGCGGUGAAAUGCUUAGAUAUCACGAAGAACUCCGAUUGCGAAGGCAGC